GACGAACGCUGGCGGCGUGCCUAAUACAUGCCAGUUGAGCGAUGAAGAUUGGUGCUUGCACCAAUUUGAAGAGCAGCGAACGGGUGAGUAACGCGUGGGGAAUCUGCCUUUGAGCGGGGGACAACAUUUGGAAACGAAUGCUAAUACCGCAUAAUAACUUUAAACAUAAGUUUUAAGUUUGAAAGAUGCAAUUGCAUCACUCAAAGAUGAUCCCGCGUUGUAUUAGCUAGUUGGUGAGGUAAAGGCUCACCAAGGCGAUGAUACAUAGCCGACCUGAGAGGGUGAUCGGCCACAUUGGGACUGAGACACGGCCCAAACUCCUACGGGAGGCAGCAGUAGGGAAUCUUCGGCAAUGGACGAAAGUCUGAACGAGCAACGCCGCGUGAGUGAAGAAGGGUUUCGGAUCGUAAAACUCUGUUGGUAGAGAAGAACGUUGGUGAGAGUGGAAAGCUCAUCAAGUGACGGUAACUACCCAGAAAGGGACGGCUAACUACGUG
This 497-nucleotide ribosomal RNA is filed under the name uncultured bacterium. Its description in RNAcentral is "partial 16S ribosomal RNA". It matches the Rfam family "Bacterial small subunit ribosomal RNA", at positions 28 to 507 of the family's 1533-position model. The record is from RNAcentral.